UGCCAUUAGUCGGGGAGCUUUAAGCUGAGAUCACCAUAAUGGUGGGCCCCGUUGAACCUGAACCAGUUAGCACUGGCGGAGGGUGUUAGGUUUUUUUUGAA
This 101-nucleotide non-coding RNA is filed under the name Photobacterium kishitanii. RNAcentral describes it as "TPP". It matches the Rfam family "TPP riboswitch aptamer (THI element)". From Rfam's summary of the family: Vitamin B(1) in its active form thiamin pyrophosphate (TPP) is an essential coenzyme that is synthesised by coupling of pyrimidine and thiazole moieties in bacteria. The previously detected thiamin-regulatory element, thi box was extended, resulting in a new, highly conserved RNA secondary structure, the THI element, which is widely distributed in eubacteria and also occurs in some archaea. Lineage: Bacteria; Pseudomonadati; Pseudomonadota; Gammaproteobacteria; Vibrionales; Vibrionaceae. The record is from RNAcentral.